CAGUCGCCGCGGGAAUACAGAGGGUGUGAGCGUUAAUCGGAUUUACUGGGCGUAAAGCGUGCGUAGGCGGCUAAUUGAGUCGGAUGUGAAAUCCCCGAGCUUAACUUGGGAAUUGCAUUCGAUACUGGUUAGCUAGAGUGUGGGAGAGGAUGGUAGAAUUCCAGGUGUAGCGGUGAAAUGCGUAGAGAUCUGGAGGAAUACCGAUGGCGAAGGCAGCCAUCUGGCCUAACACUGACGCUGAGGUACGAAAGCAUGGGGAGCAAACAGGAUUAGAUACCCGGGUAGUCCCUGUCUCUUAUAC
This 301-nucleotide ribosomal RNA is filed under the name uncultured bacterium. Its description in RNAcentral is "partial 16S ribosomal RNA". It matches the Rfam family "Bacterial small subunit ribosomal RNA", at positions 509 to 807 of the family's 1533-position model. The record is from RNAcentral.